CACAAAGUAAAAUAGUAGUAACAACAAACAACAGGAAAUAAUAGUAAGUAACAAUUAAACUCUCAAAUGAGUAGAAGAGGGAAUGGUAAAGGAGCUAAAGAAUAGGGCGUGGUGAAGUAAGAGUGCUAGGGCUGAGAAGAAUAGAACAACACCAUGCAAAAGAAGCAGUAAGUUCUUGAUUCAAGGUUGAAUAUAUGCUUGUAUAAUUAAUUACGGUUUUGGUUUGCUGGCAAGACAUUAUUUUUCUUUUUAAAUUUCUUUUGGUGGAAGGAUUGUUUAUGAGUAGUUGGGGUUGGGGAAGAAUGUGUCAGAAGAGGAAAUGAUUUUUAGUAUAUUGAAAUUAAACCGUAAACCUAGUUGUUGUCAGAUAAUAUGGUAACCUAGUUUUUACUUAAAAACUUUUUAACUGAUCACUUUAGAAAAUCAGUAAACAAAAAUCUUAGUUCAAACCAUACUUUUGGAAUGAAUUUUGAUAUAAAAUACAUCUGAUACUUUUGGAAUGAAUUGUGAUAUAUUUAAUUUAGUUCCAAUUCAAAUUCUUGAUCCAACCCCAAAGUAGACAUAUAUAGUAGUACUGAUCAUAUUGUAAACAUAAAAGCAUAAUAAGUUACAACUCUCAACUAAGUUGAGGCAAUGGCAACACAGCUAAAGAAGUGCCUUUCCAGGGCUUAGAAGAAUAGAAGAGCACCAUGCAAAAGAAGCAGGCGAUAGAGGAAAACUAGCAAGUUGACUGCAUGAUCCAAAUAAGUUUUGAUCUGAUAGAUUUCGUGGCGUGACAUGUGAUGUUUCUUGUGCUUCAUGAUUUGUUGAGUCAUUACAGGCCGCGCUAAUUGAUUCAACUUGGUUGUUUGAGGAGGAAGAAGGACGAAGGAACUCUACAGCAACGCUAUUUCUUUUUAUGAUUAGACUUGAACUUUUAGCAUAUGAAUUGAAGGAGGAAGAAGGACGAAGGAACUCUACAGCAACGCUAUUUCUUGGUAAUGAAACAGGUGAGAGAUCAAGUGGUGGAGGAGCCACAUCUUGUUGAUGGCAAUGGUGCAAUUGGUUGCUUAGUCAUUGGUUUUGAUGGGAGCCUACGAACUCCAUGAAGUGAGGAAUGAUAUGAAGGUAACGGCUUGUUUUUCUUUACUUCUUGUGGAUAUUUGGAAUAUGGAAUAGAACUAGAGGAAGAAGCAAUAGAAGAAGAAGAAAUAGCUGAAUAUGAAUAAGAAUCCAUUUUAAUUUUCUAUAUUCCGAACUUUUUGUGUAAGUUUGUCUUAGUAGUAAACCUCAAUAAGAAUACAUUUGCGGCUUUUGC
Molecule: long non-coding RNA, 1297 nt
Filed under: Nicotiana benthamiana
Lineage: Eukaryota; Viridiplantae; Streptophyta; Magnoliopsida; Solanales; Solanaceae
Description: long non-coding RNA (NBEN_LNC041697)
Source: RNAcentral